UACAGAGGUCUCAAGCGUUGUUCGGAUUCAUUGGGCGUAAAGGGUGCGUAGGUGGCGCUGUAAGUCGGGUGUGAAAUUUCGGAGCUUAACUCCGAAACUGCAUUCGAUACUGCGGUGCUUGAGGACUGGAGAGGAGACUGGAAUUCAUGGUGUAGCAGUGAAAUGCGUAGAUAUCAGGAGGAAUACCGAUGGCGAGGGCAGGUCUCUGGGCUGACACUGACGCUCAUGCACGAAAGCGUGGGGAGCAAACAGG
Molecule: ribosomal RNA, 253 nt
Filed under: uncultured bacterium
Lineage: Bacteria
Description: partial 16S ribosomal RNA
Rfam family: Bacterial small subunit ribosomal RNA
Source: RNAcentral